RNAcentral lists this ribosomal RNA (497 nucleotides) under uncultured bacterium. RNAcentral describes it as "partial 16S ribosomal RNA". It matches the Rfam family "Bacterial small subunit ribosomal RNA", at positions 28 to 507 of the family's 1533-position model. The record is from RNAcentral.
GAUGAACGCUGGCGGCGUGCCUAAUACAUGCAAGUCGAGCGAACGGACGAGAAGCUUGCUUCUCUGAUGUUAGCGGCGGACGGGUGAGUAACACGUGGAUAACCUACCUAUAAGACUGGGAUAACUUCGGGAAACCGGAGCUAAUACCGGAUAAUAUUUUGAACCGCAUGGUUCAAAAGUGAAAGACGGUCUUGCUGUCACUUAUAGAUGUAUCCGCGCUGCAUUAGCUAGUUGGUAAGGUAACGGCUUACCAAGGCAACGAUGCAUAGCCGACCUGAGAGGGUGAUCGGCACCACUGGAACUGAGACACGGUCCAGACUCCUACGGGAGGCAGGAGUAGGGAAUGUUACGCAAUGGGCGAAAGCCUGACGGAGAAACGCCGCGUGAGUGACGAAGGUAUUCGGAUCGUAAAACUCUGUUAUUAGGGAAGAACAUAUGUGUAAGUAACUGUGCACAUCUUGAAGGUACCUAAUCAGAAAGCAACGGCUAACUCCGUG